CGUCUCGGGCCAUCACCUUGAAGGUGUUCAGGUUCUCGGGGAACCGUAGCUCAGCCCGAGUUUCCUCGUAGAUUGCACCACCGCUUUGCUUUAGGCCCGUGUGUCCGAUUUCGCCCAGCCGAAGGCGGGGGGCCGAUGGCACUUCUGCCGCCUUUCUGACGUUCCUCUUUCUCCGAGCCACAAAGGGCCUCCUAUCGUUCAAUGGCCAGCGGGUUUGGUCGGGUCAGGUCCGGAGGGAUGAAGUUGGGAAUGUGGAUGUCGGAUGCCAAAUAAGUGUAGGCGUCCGAGGUGGCAUCCACCUGGUCGUCCUUAACAUUCCGGCUUCCAUCAAACACCUCCAGCUCCGUCAGGUAAGCCUCGUUCCAGGGGCCUUCUACUACCUGAACACCUCCAGCCUCUGCCAUACUGGCAAAAGGACCGAACCGGGUGACCUUUGAUUUGUUGGUUGGACGGGUCCUGGCAUGGAACCCGUGCUCUGCCAGGCGGCGAACAAAGUCCCAUGCAAGGUGCUGUCCUGCCGCUCCUGGAUCACGUGGAAUCAGGAUCGUAGUGUCAGCUCCGUCAUGUCUUGCUGUCUCAAGGAUCAGUUCAAAAACCCCGCCAAUCCGGCG
Molecule: non-coding RNA, 611 nt
Filed under: Pseudomonas phage PAK_P3
Lineage: Duplodnaviria; Heunggongvirae; Uroviricota; Caudoviricetes; Vandenendeviridae
Source: RNAcentral